This 404-nucleotide ribosomal RNA is filed under the name uncultured bacterium. Its description in RNAcentral is "bacterial SSU rRNA". It matches the Rfam family "Bacterial small subunit ribosomal RNA", at positions 29 to 418 of the family's 1533-position model. The record is from RNAcentral.
AACGAACGCUGGCGGCGUGCCUAACACAUGCAAGUCGAACGAGAAAGGGAUUUCGGUCCCGAGUAAAGUGGCGCACGGGUGAGUAACACGUAGGUAACCUACCUCUAAGUUUGGGAUAACCUGUCGAAAGAUGAGCUAAUACUGAAUAAGACCACAGUUUCCUCGGAAGCAGGGGUCAAAGGUAGCCUCUAUUUAUAAGCUAUCACUUAGAGAUGGGCCUGCGUACCAUUAGCUAGNGGUGAGGUAACGGCUCACCAAGGCAAAGAUGGUUAGCUGGUCUGAGAGGAUGAUCAGCCACACUGGAACUGAGACACGGUCCAGACUCCUACGGGAGGCAGCAGUGGGAAUAUUGCGCAAUGGGCGAAAGCCUGACGCAGCAACGCCGCGUGAGUGAUGAAGGCCUU